RNAcentral lists this transfer RNA (69 nucleotides) under Dideoides latus. Its description in RNAcentral is "tRNA-Gly". The record is from RNAcentral. Lineage: Eukaryota; Metazoa; Arthropoda; Insecta; Diptera; Syrphidae.
AUUUAUAUAGUAUAAAAGUAUAUAUGACUUCCAAUCAUAAGGUUUAUUAAUAUAAUAAUAAUAUAAAUA